GACGGUUUCCCUGCCCGUGUUUUCCAGGGAAGAAGAGGACUGGAUUUGGUGCUUGUGGACACCUGUGCCACAGGACUGCCUCGAGAGUGUAAGACCUCACCAGAGGAGAAUCCACCAUCCUGAUUUUAAUUAACUGCAGUAGAUGGAAGAGGCAAGAAGGACUAGCAAGUGUUGCUGCCUGUGGAAGAGGUGCUUCUGUUGGGAAGGUUGAGGCUUCUGCAGUUUCUGCUUUAACAUUUCUGCUGCCCUCUGGUGUUUCGGAUAUCCUGAACGAGGAAUCACCUUGGAUGAUUCUGUGAUAUCCAUGGUCGGGAGAGGUGUAAUUACAGAGCUGGCUUGUACAUAACCAGGGUAGAAGAGCGAGGAAAGUGAGGAGGACAUUCCAAAGCAUAUCCACAACGAUGUUCCUUUGAUUUCUCUCGGAAGACGGAGAAGCUGGGAGGAUACAGCUGCUCA
This 456-nucleotide long non-coding RNA is filed under the name Manacus vitellinus (golden-collared manakin). RNAcentral's name for it is "lncRNA (ENSMVIG00005006828.1)". The record is from RNAcentral. Lineage: Eukaryota; Metazoa; Chordata; Aves; Passeriformes; Pipridae.